Long non-coding RNA from Hypanus sabinus (Atlantic stingray), 643 nucleotides. RefSeq lists it as uncharacterized. The record is from RefSeq and is a predicted model, not a curated record. The transcript has 3 exons. Lineage: Eukaryota; Metazoa; Chordata; Chondrichthyes; Myliobatiformes; Dasyatidae.
UGUAAAAUACUAUUUCGGCCACAUAUGGACGAGUUGGUACAGUUAUAAUCAGCACAUUAAAGGACAAUUGGGAUAAAAUACGGGAUUGCAAACUCCCGCUCUCUCUCUCUCUCGAACCUGUCUAUGGGUGUGGAUCCAGAUUUCCCAGCGUCUUUGUGUUGAAAACCUAAAGUAACUGCCGCCUCUCACAGCCCAAGGCCAAGAUCACAAACAACAACAGGCACACUGGCUAAAGCCUUGUUUAUUCGACGAACAGCGUAGUACUGUACUGACCUACAGCCCCGAAAAUGGUUCCUGAAGCUUCGGAUCCGUCCGUAGCGGCGGGUUGUGGAUUGUGCUGUGAACUCUCUCUGCCAUGCUGCCUGAUGCGUUGAAAUGUGGAAUUACAUCGGAAAAGGUGAAAGCACCCUGCUGGAGUUUUGGAAACAAACCAGAGAGCGAUAGUUUGUGCAUUCCCAAUUUGAGGUAUACAAAGAGUAACUGAGUGGCAUGAGUGGACAUUGGACGCUGUAAAAUGACGCUGGCAAUUGAGUAAAGAGGAACAAAGAAACGGCAGAUGAGCUGAAUAACACGAGUCUACCCAAAGAAAAACGAAGACUUCCCUGGCAGAGUGCACACCAUUUAUCUGCUUACCAAUGCUGCC